GCAAACUUGGUCAUUUAGAGGAAGUAAAAGUCGUAACAAGGUUUCCGUAGGUGAACCUGCGGAAGGAUCAUUAUCGAUAUGAUAACAAUCAUUAUAAACCAUGUGUGCAGUUAUUGAGAAAUUGAAAGAAGGGGAAUUUUCCUCCUUUUUUUUUUUUUUUUCUUUUCUUUUUCAUUUUCACACAUUAUUUUUGCCGUUAUAAUAUUUUAAAUAAAACAAAAAAAAACUUUCAACAACGGAUCUCUUGGCUCUCGCAUCGAUGAAGAACGCAGC
Molecule: unclassified non-coding RNA, 273 nt
Filed under: uncultured fungus
Lineage: Eukaryota; Fungi
Description: partial contains small subunit ribosomal RNA, internal transcribed spacer 1, and 5.8S ribosomal RNA
Rfam family: Eukaryotic small subunit ribosomal RNA (bases 1-73)
Source: RNAcentral